Molecule: long non-coding RNA, 1139 nt
Filed under: Homo sapiens (human)
Lineage: Eukaryota; Metazoa; Chordata; Mammalia; Primates; Hominidae
Description: HSALNT0067472
Source: RNAcentral
UGCAACCCACGCUUCGAGGGCCUUGCGCAUUGCAGAGGACACGGCAGCCUGCUCAUCACGCUCAACUACACCUCCUGCGAGAGCUUUGGCCACCUUGGGAGGCAGGAUCUAGGCUGUCCCACGCGCCGGGUCCCGUUGGCGCCGGGGCCUCCUGGGACGGCCUGGCCGCGGCCUGCGGGUGGCCCGCGCGGCUCCAGGUGGCGGGAGGCGGCGGUUGGCGGGAAGGGCCGCGCGGGCCCGGGGGCGGCGCCUCAGGUGCGCUCUUUCCAGAAAGGCAGCACACGCAUGUCUCUGCCGUGGCCCCAGAUCCUCCCCGCGCCGCCGUUUUGAGCGUUCACACUCAUUACCCAGGUCCGUCUGGGAGACCCGCCGGGCUCCCGCCCUCCCGGCCCGCAGCCUCCUGGCCAAAAUCCUCCCGGGACACCCCACCUGGACUGCUGCGAACGGGCCUCCACCCGCCUCCCCGGACCCGCAGCGCCCCCCGCUCCCUCAGGGUUCUGGGGUGAAGGGGUCUGAAUAGCACCAGGGGAGGCGGCAGGGCGGGCCUGUCCUACCUGCGCCCGAGCACUGCUGAGACGACAUCCCUUCCAGCGCCGCCACGUAGUCCAGCCCCAGCCAGCCGCGGUCCUGGAAGCACCGCAGGCAGACGACCUGCUCCUCACUGGGCUCAGGCAGGGUCACCCGCCCAGUGCCGCUAGCUGCAAAUUGCUUUACAUACAGUGACCCAAAGAGCAAGUCAUUUCAGGGCCCCACCACUCUGAUUGGAAGUCAUAAGCUUGACAACUGAUUGGCCUCUGUCACCCAAGCGGGUGUGGGGACACUAGGCCCGCAGGUGCCACUGGAAGAGGCGUUCAGAAGCACUGCGGUGCUCCAGCUCCUGGAUGCAGGUAUCUCCCCACAAACCUAAACAAUUUCGAGAGGGACUUGUGUUCUGCAACCAGUCACAGAAUAUCAGGUGAGCUGGGCGUGUCUUCACUGACCCACCCGCCCAGGGAUGCUGCACUCCUCUCCACCCUGCUCAGAAUCACUAGAAUGACCGUUCUGUGGCUACAGCCCUAAAAGAGCUACUAAAAAGACCAGAAGUAGUAUGAGAACUUAUGAAUACGAAUAUAAAUAAAGGACAUCUGGAGAACAUGCAU